This 275-nucleotide ribosomal RNA is filed under the name uncultured bacterium. RNAcentral describes it as "partial 16S ribosomal RNA". It matches the Rfam family "Bacterial small subunit ribosomal RNA", at positions 338 to 630 of the family's 1533-position model. The record is from RNAcentral.
CCUACGGGCGGCAGCAGUGGGGAAUAUUGGACAAUGGGCGCAAGCCUGAUCCAGCCAUGCCGCGUGAGUGACGAAGGUCUUCGGAUUGUAAAGCUCUUUUGGCGGGGACGAUAAUGACGGUACCCGCAGAAUAAGCCCCGGCUAACUUCGUGCCAGCAGCCGCGGUAAUACGAAGGGGGCUAGCGUUGUUCGGAAUCACUGGGCGUAAAGCGCACGUAGGCGGAUGUGCCAGUCAGGGGUGAAAUCCCGGAGCUCAACUCCGGAACUGCCUCUGA